AGCGAACGCUGGCGGCAGGCCUAACACAUGCAAGUCGAACGAACUCUUCGGAGUUAGUGGCGGACGGGUGAGUAACACGUGGGAACGUGCCUUUUGGUUCGGAAUAACUCAGGGAAACUUGUGCUAAUACCGAAUGUGCCCUUCGGGGGAAAGAUUUAUCGCCAUUAGAGCGGCCCGCGUCUGAUUAGCUAGUUGGUGAGGUAACGGCUCACCAAGGCGACGAUCAGUAGCUGGUCUGAGAGGGUGACCAGCCACACUGGGACUGAGACACGGCCCAGGCUCCUACGGGAGGCAGCAGUGGGGAAUCUUGCGCAAUGGGCGAAAGCCUGACGCAGCCAUGCCGCGUGAAUGAUGAAGGUCUUAGGAUUGUAAAAUUCUUUCACCGGGGACGAUAAUGACGGUACCCGGAGAAGAAGCCCCGGCUAACUUCGUG
RNAcentral lists this ribosomal RNA (433 nucleotides) under uncultured bacterium. RNAcentral describes it as "partial 16S ribosomal RNA". It matches the Rfam family "Bacterial small subunit ribosomal RNA", at positions 29 to 507 of the family's 1533-position model. The record is from RNAcentral.